Molecule: ribosomal RNA, 591 nt
Filed under: uncultured bacterium
Lineage: Bacteria
Description: bacterial SSU rRNA
Rfam family: Bacterial small subunit ribosomal RNA
Source: RNAcentral
GUGCUUACAAUGCAGUCGAACGGUGAAGGCCCUUCAGGGGUACACGAGUGGCGAACGGGUGAGUAACACGUGGGUGAUCUGCCCUGCACUUCGGGAUAAGCCCGGGAAACUGGGUCUAAUACCGGAUAGUACUGCGCGGUGCAUGCCGUGUGGUGGAAAGAUUUAUCGGUGCAGGAUGGGCCCGCGGCCUAUCAGCUUGUUGGUGGGGUAAUGGCCUACCAAGGCGACGACGGGUAGCCGGCCUGAGAGGGCGACCGGCCACACUGGGACUGAGACACGGCCCAGACUCCUACGGGAGGCAGCAGUGGGGAAUAUUGCACAAUGGGCGCAAGCCUGAUGCAGCGACGCCGCGUGAGGGAUGACGGCCUUCGGGUUGUAAACCUCUUUCAGCAGGGACGAAGCGCAAGUGACGGUACCUGCAGAAGAAGCACCGGCCAACUACGUGCCAGCAGCCGCGGUAAUACGUAGGGUGCAAGCGUUGUCCGGAAUUACUGGGCGUAAAGAGCUCGUAGGCGGUUUGUCGCGUCGUCUGUGAAAACCAGCAGCUCAACUGUUGGCUUGCAGGCGAUACGGGCAGACUUGAGUAUUUCA